This 254-nucleotide ribosomal RNA is filed under the name uncultured bacterium. Its description in RNAcentral is "partial 16S ribosomal RNA". It matches the Rfam family "Bacterial small subunit ribosomal RNA", at positions 524 to 776 of the family's 1533-position model. The record is from RNAcentral.
UACGUAGGGCGCAAGCGUUGUCCGGAAUUAUUGGGCGUAAAGAGCUCGUAGGCGGUUUGUCGCGUCUGCUGUGAAAACCUAAGGCUCAACCUUGGGCUUGCAGUGGGUACGGGCAGACUAGAGUGCGGCAGGGGUGACUGGAAUUCCUGGUGUAGCGGUGGAAUGCGCAGAUAUCAGGAGGAACACCGAUGGCGAAGGCAGGUCACUGGGCCGCAACUGACGCUGGAGGAGCGAAAGCAUGGGGAGCGAACAGG